AAAUUUGAAUCUUCUCAGUUAAAAGCUAAUACCCACCACUGAAGAGAUAUGCCUGAUUUUGGUUUCAAUGUCAACCAAAUUGCCUAAAUAUUUGCAUAGACAUUAAUAGCCAAAGGCAGGACACCAAUUUAAUUCUGGGUAGAACUAGUCAGUUCCUUUAGUAACACUGCAUUGUGACUAAGUCCAAGUGUUUUGUUUUCUUUUGUUUUUCAAAUUAAAGCCAACUUGUGAUGGUUUAGUGUAAUUGUAGCUACUGAUUUCCAUUGUGUUUUAUAAUCACAAGGCAAUAUCUGUGUCACAGAAUAGUAUUGCCUUGAAACUAUUUUUUUCCCAAUUUUACCUUUCCCAUCUUUUGUCUAAGCCUCAAGUAAUGACCAGUUUUGUUUGUAGUUACAGUGGAAUAACUCCUAAAUUAAACUGUUUCCUACUUUUUUCAGCCUUCUCAAAUCUAAAAAGCACAUGACUCAGCCUCCAUCUAAAUUGGCCCCAGGGAAUGAAUGCUAUUUUAACAGUGAGAGGAACCUAGACUUCCCAGAGAGGAGAUGCAGAGAUAAACAUGUAGCACAAAGGUGAAGGCUGACAAAAGGGAAUCCAGAUGCUGGAGAAGUGAGUGAACAUACAGAAGAAACCUCAAGAAGCAGAUCCAAGGGAGAGGGGCGAGCUGGCUACUUUAUGCCAAGGGGUGGGAUUUCUAGUAUUACAUAUUCUUGGAAGUACUGAGACAGAAUAUUUAUGGCACCAGAGAAGAAGAGAGAGAGAAAAGAAUAAAUCAGAAUCUGACCUACAUUACUUGUUUGUUUCAGUAUUCAUUGAAUGAAAGGAAGCUGCUGGAAAUAAAGACAGAAAUGGUGGCAUUGCAUGCCCAGCAAGAUCGUGGUGUCACCCAGACUGACAGGAAGAUAGACACGGAGGUCGCUGGCCUUAAAACUAUUGCUCGAGUCACACAAGCUUGACAAGAUUAAAUAUGUAGCAGGGUCUGUGUUUACAUGCCUAACAGUAGCUCUGGGAUUUUAUCGCCUAAGGAUGUAAUAAACUCUCUAUUUAAAGAGCUCUCUUAAUUGUUUUGCCUUAAAAAUACCAGGUUGUAGUGCUUUUUGUUUUUCUCAUUUCAAAUUUUAAUGCUGAUUUUGAUUUAAUUUACAUUAUUUAUUUUAUGCAAUUUAUGGACAUAUAACCAAGGCAAAGAAGUCAGGAAUUUCAUAAUUGCCCCUUUCACCUCUUCUAUUUAAUUGACUUCAUAACACUGAGUGGUUUUGGACAAAGCAUUGAAGACUCCACGCAGCUGGACCAGUGAGCUUGGUCUAACCUGUGGGAUAUACCAGCAGUAAAUAUUGUAUAACUCUCUUUAAUUUUAAAUCUUUUGUCACAUGGAGAAUUUGGGGUCUCCACUUAAAGGCACAAUGGCUUUACUAAGUGCCAAAGAAUCAUCGAAACUAAACCAAGAGCAGCAAUUCCUCCUCACCUAACGGCCCAUCCCUGAGGGCAGCCAGUCUCUGUCUGAAGAGGAUCGUGUUUAGUGGUUGGUAUGUUAAUGAUACAGCUGUACUGUACACUGAUAGGAGUAUUUUUCUUUAAAUUUCUACUGUCUUAGUAAAUUAUUGUUACAGCUAUUUUUUACGUGUCUUCCAGUAGAAAAUCUUGUUGCUUAAUCAAGUGUUGUAAUUGUAAUGGGAACUCUCUUUACCUCUUAGAGGGCUAGGCUUCUCUCUCCCUCCCUGUCACUGGUCCUUCUCCUCUGCCUCUGAACUUGAGCGCUAUAAUGAUCCUCCACUUGUGGCAUUGCCUGCCUAGAGAGUCUCGGCAUGGAUGCCUACUUCAGUUUGUGGGACAGCCUCUACUUCCCUGCUGGUCUUCACUUGCUUCUUAUACAGGGGCCGGCACUCCAUCCCUGUGUAGCAGUGUGUGGAUAGUUAAUGUGCACGCUUCUUAGAAAUGUCUUUAAUCAAUACGCUCUUGCCCACUACAUACUCAGAUCAUAGGCUUUCAAAAUUAAAGAACUGUCAUGCCAGGUAUCAUCCUAGUGUAGGUCGAUUUCUUUGGUGGUUCAAGACAUCUGCAUACCUGCCUGCCUUCUAUAUCUAAUACAAAUUCCUAGAUGCACCUGGGGUUCUUUUGGAGCAGUGCCAUCUUAUUUAACAACUGGCACCUGGGAGAGAGUAAGCAUUUGGAAUCGAUGGCAUUAAUAGCAGCUUUUCUGCCUUUCUCCACAUGGAUGCAUGUGCCUAUCAUCUGUGUGGUGGAGAAACCACAUAGAGACUUCUGACCAAUCUGGUGGGAUAAAUUACCCAUCAUCACGGUUCCAACCACAUAAAAAGCUACCUCUUAUCCUUUGGAUGUCCCUUCUAAGCUUUGGCAAGUGUAAGUUGGUGCCUUUUCUUAAAACAUUUGUGUAGCACAAAAAAUUCUGAACUUAAAAUGUAUGGAAAUCAAGGGCCUAGAGUGUAGCUACUCCGAACUAAUACCCAAGCACAGAAAGUAGUGAAUGCAAUCAUGUUUCAAAGAAAACACUAACUUGUAUAGUUUAAAAAGAGAGUGAAGUGACCUUCUGUCCUGAUAAAAUAUUUUUUAAAUAACAUUGAGUGGGGUGACAUUCUUUCAUCUGCCAAAAGUAUUCCAAAUGGCAUUCCUGGUGGUGACAGUGGGCUGCAUCAGUCUGUACUUAAUUUGGGCCAUUGGUUUUGUUGAAACGUUCCUUGCAGUACAGAACAGCCUUCCUCCCCACCCACCUGGGGAACAAUGAGCACUCCUCUCAGUGUUGUGGAUUGCGUGCAUACAGGGACAUUAUGAGGGCCCAGGACUGUGUUCCAUUUAUUUAGUUAAAUGUACUGUAUUUGAAAAGCAUAUGAGCCAGAAAUACCAGUGCACCCUUCCCCCUGCUGGCCCAUAAGUCUGAACUGUGCACAGUAAGCAUGCUAUAUAUUGGGACACAGUGUGACAACUUCCUGAGCUAGUCUAGCUUAGAAGGAUUCAGAUCACUUUAGGAAAUUGGGAUCAGCCCUCAGAAGCGGGAAGAUGCAUGGCAAGACUUAGAUGACCUGUGUCUACCACGUUGCAAAAAUAACCAUAGCUGCAUGUUGAAAGCCCACCCCUCUAGGCACAGCUUCCUUGGGCACAGAGACCUAAAGCACAACAUCAAGUGGACAGAAUCUUUGCAUUUCCUUUCCCUGCCCUGAUCACUCUGUGAGGAGUCCUCUGCUUUCCCACUCUUCUACCCCCCACCCCACCCCAUCCCUUUUCCCCUUCCCCUGCCUUUUAUCCUUUUUAAAGAGCCAGAACUCUCCAUUA
Long non-coding RNA from Manis pentadactyla (Chinese pangolin), 3285 nucleotides. RefSeq lists it as uncharacterized. NCBI's taxonomy places the organism in Eukaryota, Metazoa, Chordata, Mammalia, Pholidota, Manidae. The transcript has 3 exons. The record is from RefSeq and is a predicted model, not a curated record.